UGUCUUCCCAUCCAGGCCUUAAUUUUACUAGGAUCUUUCCAAAAGCAGGAAAACUAAUUGCUUGUGAUCACUUUGAUAAAAUAGAUUGAAAAUACAAAUGCACGUAGGUAAAGAAAAACAUAAAAAUCACUCUGUUGCACAAUAUUUAAAAAUAGUAUGGUGAUUAUACAUUGGUAUAAGCCAAACCAUGAAAAUGCAAAUACUAGAGUUAAGAAUGAAGAUGUGAAAUACUUACUUGAUUGAAGACGGUUAAGAAGAAAAAGUAAAAAGUUGAUUGCAGCGCAUCAGGAUCUACAAGCAGAUACCAUAGAGAUGUUUAGUUUAACAGUAGGAACAAAUGAAGGAAGAGCAACAUCCAGUGACAUUAAGCAACAGCCAAGUGAAUUCAGAUGAGAGAUGACAAAAGCAUUUUGAACACUGAGGAAAAGCUACCUUGUACUGCAGUGGGCUUUCCAUAAUUUGAUAUAGUAAAAUCAGUCUUGAGUUCUAACCACUCUGCUUUGGUUCCAUUGAAGUGGACUUAUACAAUCAGUAACUUCAAGAGGUACUUUGUAGCUUGCAGAAGGUAAAAAUAAAUUAUCAUAAAUGUCUCUGCUGGCCAGAGUACUAAACUGUUGGUCAUGUGAGAUACCUGCACAUUCCCAUUGGAAAUUUCAGGGGGAAAAAAAAAAAAAGAUAAACUCAGGUGCAAAGUAAUCUGACCAGUAGAUUUUAAUUUGAGGAAAAAAAGUAGGUUCACAGUAAAUGAUUAGAUUUAUGGUGUUCUGUUCCUUACAGUGGGUGAAAAUUAAAGAUUCAUGGAUACCUGUUCUUUUAUUUAUAUACCAUAAAUCUUAUAUUUGGAAGAUCCCUCACAACUGUCUGGCAUGUCAUGAGAAAUGUUGGGCUCCUGGAUUCUUCACAUGGAGCAAUAUCUCAAACUGAGCUACUUGAUGCCUAGAAAUCCAAAACAGAUGAACUGAUUUCUUCCACUGAAAGAAGAGUUUUGGGAAAUGCUAAAAGGGAUAAGAGACAGUAAAGUCCCCCUGAUUGUCCAGCAGAUCUUCCUCUUACUCGCCUAAUGUUUAGAUCUCAGUUGAUUUAAAAAUCAUUAUAUUUUUCAUUUAAUUUAAUAGAGAUAAGGAAGAUAGACCACUUGAUAGAAACAACUACAUAAAUGUUAAAUCUGUGUGCAGUCACAAAUUUUAUUAUAAAUCCAAAAUCUUUUGGAAGUGCAGAGAUUCAUUAGUUAUAUAACACUCUGGUUGCCAGAGUUUCCAAAUUUGUUUUCCUUAUCAAAACAAGUUAAAAAACACAGGAUAACAUAGCAAACAGUUUAAUCAGAUGAAUGAAAACUUCAGAUAAUCUAACCUGUUUAAAAGAAAUCUUAUUACAACAAUGUACAAAUUUUCUCUCCUUCAUCUGAGUAUGUGACACAUACUCGUAUCAUAGAAUCACAGAAUGGCUUGGGUUGGAAGAGACCUCAAGGAUCAUCAAGCUCCAACCCCCAUCCCGCAUACAGGGCCACCAACCUCCAUAUCUAACACUAGACUUCUAAUACUGUGUAAUCAAUGCAAUAUAAAGAAAGGCCUCCAAAUACAGAUGGGCAAGGCCAGGCCAGGCAGAAAGAAGAAAAGUAACUAUAACUUCUUGCUUCUGUUUUAAGCCAUGUACCUGUGAUUGCAUGUAAUCCUACACCCUUUCACAUCCUGAACCCUAACCACAAAUGUAUGCUUUUCUUGGAUGUAUAAUUUGAGGAGUUCUGUUUUAUCAUCUGGCUUUUGUGUUUGAAGCAUCUUAGAAUUUAUAAAGAAAAAAAAAAUCAGAAUUGAUUACACUUGAGAAGACACCAUUAUAUACUGCUACUACACCUAAUUCAUAUAUUCCCUGCAGACUGGGAGGCUGUCUCUCCCCUCCCACUUCCUGUGCUAAAGUAGCAGCUAUAUUCUGAUGCCCCUUUAACAUUCACAUUUUUCCUGAAUUUAUCCCUGCAUGCAUUCAUCCAUGCAUUCCCUACUCCCACAUUAACUUUUUACAGUCUGAUGAUGCCUGCUUAGUUCCUGGAUGCAGCAGGAAGUAAAAUAUCUGAAACUGCGUGAAUGAAAAGCAGGAAGUCUGGCCUGCAGUAAUACCAAGAGUCAAACACAAGAGGGCUAAAUGUUCCCCUUCAUACUAGGAUUGGCAGAGGAAGAUAAACCACGAUCUAAAUUAGUAGCUGAUUCCUAGUCAAAAGCUCAAUGGUUAACAUGGCACUCAGUUACAGAUGACCACUGGUGGCUGGUACUGAAAUCAUCAUUGACUUUGUAUUUCAUAACUGAAUUCACACCAGAGUUCAGUACUGCCUUAUAUCUUACAUAGCAGGAGCUACAGAUGCUUAGAAGGACAUGAGAGAGUUUUACAUCUAAUCCACGUCUUUUGCAAAUGGCAAAUGCCUAAUCCCACAUCUCUUACCUACAAAGGAGUUAACAGGUAAGGAGUAAAGGAAUUAUUCAAUAAGGAAAGGAGCAAUAUGAUUGAAAGUAAAAGAAAUCACCUAGGAUCAAACAUAAAGAAUUCAAUAGCAACCCCUCUUGGCAUGAAUUUACUUGUGAUCUGAUGGAACCAACCUGACAAGCUCCCAGAGAUAACAGUUUGUCAAUUUCCCAUUUCAAAGGCAGUGCGAUAAUUGAAAGCUUCCUGAUAUCCACAUGGAAAUCAAACUUUCAGCAAACAACAAACUUUCUGAUAAAGGCCUACGCUAAAUUCCAUUGAAUUCAAUGACAAAUCCCAGCAGCUUUCAACAGAAGCUGAGUGAAGCUCAAGGUGAAAAGCAUCUCUGAGAACAGUUACAGUUAACUAAAUCCCCAGCUAGGUCAGAAAAAUUGUGAGAAUAUACUUCACAUAAGUGGAGCUUGGGUUGGGAAUUCAGGACUGACUUGCAAGGAUCUCUGACACUGAGCUCUUUAAGAGACCCUUAAAGAAGCCCCCAGUGUUCAGCAAGGUCACCAUGUCCCCAGUUUUCAUUGUAUCACCACAUGCUGCUAAGAACUUCGUAGCACCUGACAGUUCCCCUCUUUAUUUCAUCUAAAGCAAUCUACGGGCUGUCAACACAAGCUGCAGCCAGAUUGCUGUACUGGAGUGUAAACACGGAGUUGGUUGAUGAAGCAAUAAAUAAGAUGAGCAGGGAGAAAGGGCAAGAACUUUUUCAAGUGCAAGGAACACAAAGAAAUGUACAAUGUCAAAUGUAAGGCCUAUUCAGCCCAAGACAUGAGAGAAGCAUGGAAUUGAUGUGUAUGCCAUCUCUGUACGUCUCCAAAGCUGAACAUGAUUCUGCAGCUAGAAUGUGACUCAGCUUCAGGUGAAAUACAAGCAAGACGAAGGAACAACUUAUCUACAAUUUCUUUAAAAAACAAACAAACAAACAAACAAAAAACCAAAAAACCUGAAGGGAAGAUCCCAGAAUAAUAAUCAUUCCCUUCUCUCCUUUACAGAUGAAGUUAAGGCCGUCAGAAAUUAAAGAACUUACUGAGGUUAUACAGCACUGUCAGAAUUUGAAUUCAGAGCUUCUGAGCCCAACCUCAGUGCCUCAGCUACACAUUAAUUUUCUUCUUUGUAUUCCCUCACAGUCUUAGGCCAUGUGGCCACUAUUGGUAAAAUGAAAAACAGGUGCAGAUCCUCGAACAGAUGGGAGACCAGCCCUGGCUGAUCUCUGGAGGAUAAUACAGGGUUGCUUUCCGGCAAAGAGGAUUCCAAAGAACUGCAGAGGCAACACCCCUGCCCUAAAAGUGAAGCUGUUCUGCUGCACAAUAAACAUUAUCUCUACCAGCCCAGUAAGUGGGAGUAUUGAGGCAUGCACAGUCUGUUGUCUGUCAGCAAAGAACAGUGCCUUACUGACCUCUUAGAACUGCAGUACUAACACUUUGUUUUUCAGGCAUGCCUGUAAAGACUGGAGAAGACUUAAUUGCAAUUCCAUUCUUUGCAGUAACUGCAGCCAACAUUUUGCAGUUGCUGAAACAUGAAGUUUCUUCCCUGGAGUAGGCAACUUUGGAAUGUCUGACCCUCCAAAAAUGCCAUUAGUCAUACGCAAAAGCUGGAAAAAUCACUAGUAGUAUGAAACAAAUAAUCCAGGUAAGAAUAAUAGUGUAUUUAUUCUAGAUCCUUAAGUACUGAACCUCUUUGGUUCCCUGUUCAUGAGGAACUGAUAGCUUAGUCUGCAAUAUAUUGCUAAAUAAAGAACCUGAAUUGCUGUCUCAGCAGGAGGGCGAUAGAAAAUGACUAACAGGGCAAUUGCAUAGUUCUAAACACAGGAUGGAUAGUGAAGAUGCAAAGUAAUUCCCUGCUUUGUGUGACCUACAGUUGUGAUCUCUGUAUGUUAAAAGAUACAUUUUCCCUCUAUGUGUCACCUGCAGGUAUACAUCUGCCAAAAGGAUUAGAGAAAUCACAGCAAUUCUCAAUUUCCACAGAUCCCCACAGCAUGUACCAAACCCGAGAGGAGAGCUCUUGCAAGAAGACAGGAUAUGCUGUGCAUUAGAUGCUUCUGGUUCCAGCCUUUAUUAUAGGUUUCUCACUCUUAGUGCUGUGUCUGAGAGAGCUGAACAUUUGUGAAAGCAGCCGUUCCCAGAGUUGGAAAGUUCCAAAUCCCCUUUUGGAGCUGAGUGCGUGCGUUAUUGAGUUAGUCAUGACACCACCUUACAGAGAACAGACAAUGAGUUUUGGAUUUUGUGAGUACCUUUCCUCCCUGUAAAGAAGUGCCCUUCCCCCACUCUUUUGGAAACAUCUGUCUGUAUUGGAAACAGAAGAUAUGAUUUAUUUUUAUCGCCAUUCAUGUCAAACAGGCCAACAGCCCCAGUUUUCUGCUUUCAGAUGUAGCAAGAGGCAGGGGAAUCAGAGUGAAGCACCAUUUAUGUCAGUGCCUCCUCCCUCCUCAGUUCUCUUAUCUUAUUUUCAUGGCUACCUACUGUGCUAUCUUAUCACUCAACAGCCUUGCAAAACUCUGCAACUUGACCCCUCCACAGAGAGAGGUGACCUGCUUAGACCUCCCUGCUCUCUGCUGCUGCUCCCUGCUCUCUACUGCUGCUCCCUUUCUUGCAGAGCAAGUUGCUCCCUCCUUUGUUAUUUUACAACUCCUUUCUCAGUGCCUGUCUUACCUUCUCACUCCUCCUUUUUUUCUAGCUCAUAAUGUUUCUUCACUGAGCGUGCACUCAGCUGUGUGGCCUUCUUGGGGUAUGCUUAAUUUCUCACUGUCCAGCCUGCCCUUUGAUGUCUGAUGAAGAGGGAUACAUCUUCUUUUCCAUCUCUUCACAUGUGCCUAUUAAUUACUCUCUUCAGAGAGCCUGUUUACUGACUAUCACUGUGUUUACAAUUGAAUGCAGUUAAACAUUUGUUCUUCACAGUUUCCUCUCUUCUACACCACCCACCCAGUUUCUUCAUUUCUUCCCAACUGUUGCAAAAUGGAUGUCUCCAAAUCACUUUGUAAAGUCACAGAUGCAGUGUACUUACUUUCCCACACUCACCCUGCUUUCAAGCACUACUUUUGCUUCACUCACAGAGAAAUAAAGUCAGUCUUUAUAUUGGAAUUUCUAUCUCCAGCUGUCUAAUAAAAAAGCAGCAGUGAGGCUUAACAAUUUGACCUUCUGGUUGCACACCUUACCUUGUGAACUGGAAAAUGCACAGACAGAUCUGUAAGCUUCAGACUUCUGGCCUAUGAAGAAGUAAUAUGAACUAAGUACAAAAUAGAGAAGUAUGCCCACUGAAAUGAGAAGGGCAUAAACUGUGUAUGUAUCUUCCUGGGAUUAAGGGCCCUUGGGCAGAGGGGAUUUUAAUAGGAUGGGGUGCCUAACAAUUACUGUAGCAAACAUACAGAAAGGAAGAAUAACACGGUUGUAGUACAGCAACUCAGAUCUGAGAUGAAAAUUCCUUCAGAUGUCCUUCUCGUUCCAUAUGGGACUUAAAACAUUACAAAAAAAUGUGAAAUAAAUUUAAAACAAAUGUGGGCUACAUUAACUUUUUCUUUUUCCCAGAUUAUUGUCAAUCCUUUGCCAUUUGUAUUUGGGAAAAGGAAGGAAGCAGAUACCUCAAAGAAUAUAGGAACUGAUUUAUGGCAGGGUGUAUGAAGCUCACCAUGUGUGAGCAUGAGUAGGAAAGAGAGAGAGGACGGCUGACAGUGAGGGACGUACAGCUGCACAGACCAACAGCGAAACAACCAGAAUAAUCCCAAAUGACUUAAUUUGUGUCUUGGCAUAGCAUCUGUACCUGUACAGUUAGAGAUGGUACACGAGUUGCCUGUUGCUUUCCAGACGCAGCUUCUGCUUUUAGCACCUAUUACAAUACAGAAUUUAAGCAUGGGAACUGAUCAGAAUUUGGGCUGAAAUCUUUUAAGGUUUGUAAGCAGCAGAGGCAGGUACUUGGAACCUGGAAGUUUGAAGCUUUCUUGUAACCAGUGUAGGUUGGAGACUGCAUGUCAAGCAAUGGAAACUGGAGGGAGACAGGGCAGGACAGACUGAACGAGAGUGGUGGUUCAGGAAGACCUAUGGAAGUACGUAGUGAAAGCUCAGUUUGCACAGCCUCACAGUUAAAAAGUCAGGUGUUACAAAAAUGGUAGUAUUAAAGCAGUGUGCAGUUGUGGUUUUCAUCAGUUGUCCUGGAUAUGUAAAAUAACCAAGCCAGAAAAACAGUCAGUAAAGUGUAACAGAUAUGUCCUUAUUUGUUUCCUUGUUUUGCUGAUACCCCUGAUGCUCCCACAGAUAAAUUCCGUAUAUGGAAGUAUAACAAAUAAAUGGACAUUUAUUUUAACAUUACCCUUUUAAAACUAGAAACAGCCAACAGACUUCGAAUUAAAACCGUGGGCACCUGUCUUAAUUAAUCAGGUAGUGUUAGGGGUUAAUGUGCUAUUAUAUUCAUUGCUAGAUACAUCAGCAUUUAUGUUUUUAUCAUACAGAAGAUCAGUUAAAAUGUGAGCUCUCUUCUGCUAAGUGCUGUCCUAACACAACUUUUACUCAUAUCCGGAAGACUUGCUUCCUUUCUUUGUCACCUUUAAAAGACAGUGCUGUGAUACACUUUUCAGCUUUUGCAGGUGUCCACUGACUGUUCCAAUGAUGUUUCAAAAUAUGCUCCAAAUUUUUUGAGAUGAGGACUUUUUGUUCUUGCACACCAAGAUUUUAGUCUGAGCGAAUGAGGCCCACACAUAAAAUAUCAAGCCAAUAGAUGUCCUAAAGGAAUAAUCUGAUCUUGGAAGCAGGUUUUUUCAAUAUUCAGAGAAUGUCAUUUGGGAGUACUUUGCCGCACCUUAUGCAACAAACAAAAUUAAGCCAAUAGUAAAGGGACAAGAUGUUGAUAGGGAGGGGACACGAGAUGUCUUUUUUUUUGUGAAAUUCAUUUAAAAUCUUUUUCAAAUACAGAAAGAAGAAACCAAAGCUGAUAGUCAGGAAAACAAAACCAUUUGAACAGGAUCGAGUGGCACAGGACUAGUCUCACCAAUGUACAUUUGCAGAGCAACCAUUGCUCUGUUCUUUGAGAUGCAGCAGAUUGGAAGUCUGGAUCAAAACAAACGAUUAAACAUUUUGGUUACUUGAUGUCUAAGAAACAUACAAAAUAUGACCAGUGGUUGCUUCUGAUAAGCUGGUGCUUCCAGAACUGUUUAUCUGCUCAUCUACGGGUGCUGGGAAUAAAAGGCUGCGAAAUACUCUUUCACUGACAUUUCACUCCACACAUGAAUUUGUAACUUUGGUGUGGAUAACUGAUUUUUAUGUUUACUACAGAGUCAAUAAUGUUGAUCAAAUUUCUUUGGUCAUAUUUGAGUAUUAAAGACUAAACUACUUUUCCACCACCAGUAUUUCCUUUUCCUCUUUGCAAGCUGGAUAGAGAUGUGCACUAGUGCACAAUUAUGUCUCAACUUCUACAAGCAUAACAAACCACUGAACUUAAUGAAUGUAAACAAGUAAUCUAGACCAGUGUGUUCUGGCAUUCCCCAAGUCUUCCUUAGCCAUUAAAAUAUAGUAAGGGCAGACAGAAAGGGCCUCAGCAGGUAAUAAGAGAGUUGUAUCAAAAAUCCACCUUAUCAGUUAGCAAGAAACUGUUGAAUUUGUUUUCAACACAGGUUUACUAUGAUGUCCAUUUACUUUAAGUUGGAUUUUUUUUUUUAAGAGCUGGAUUGUUGAGCUUUCCUAAACAAAUUUAUCUUAAUAUUUCAGAGCUUUGAGUGGAAGAUGAAAGGAGCAGAAUUUGUUCCAUCUGUAUGACCUGGUAUGUCUCGUGCUUUUCUAGGUCUGUGUCUAAUUCAGAUGAAUGUAGAAUUUUGAGCUAUACUGCAAAUUAUUCUCUCAUCUGUUCAAUCACUUUUAGCAGCAGCUACCAUUCCUACAGAUGUAGCCUAUGUUACUUCCUUUUGUCUCUAUGCAUUUAGGAAGCACUGUUAAAAACAGAGUGGAUCUCUCUAGAAAAUGAAAUGGCUUUGAUGUUCUCAUCUCUCCAGUUUACCUGGAAUAACCAGAAUGCCAAAAUACUCAGCACAGCCACUGACUUUCCCACAGAUCUGCCCUCCAGGAUCAGUUCUGAGCAACAUUUUUAGAUUUCUAUCAGAUUUUAUAUUUGAAAUCAUUUUUUUCUGAUUUUUUUUUUUUUUUUUAAUCAGUUCUUAUUUAACAGAUGCUGUCAAGCGCUUCAGAAAGUUUGAAAAGUUGAGAUUAGGAGAAUUGACAGAGAUUCUCUUUACAACACAGAUGAUUGCAGUUAUGGAGAGACUUAGGCCUGGUCUGUGCAGUUUAUGUCCAAUACAAACAUUCCCAGGUGGCUGCAAUCAAGCAUCUAACCAGCUGAUGUCAUUCUGACCAUGCACAUGUAGUUGCUUGGGAUAUCACUCCAACAGUAUAUUCAUGUUUGCACAAAGGGAUAAACUCAUGCUUGCUAUGGCAUCCAUGUUGAUGGGGGAUUAACCAUUCAGUAAAACAAAUGUUGUAAUGGUACAGAAUGCUCUCUGCAAAUGGCACCUGACUGCUCUUCCACAGAGAAGACCCAGAGGGAAGAGAAAAAAGGAGAAUUGGUGCAGCCUCCUAACUGCACAACUUUCCCCCUUUCUGCCAGGUCCCAUUCGCUGCAGACUGCAACAUCUCUUCACCAGCACUGUCCCACCACACAGGACAAGUGGGCAGUGGGAGGCAAGGCUCCUCUCUGCAGGGCAGCCCUGUGCAAAGGCAAACUUUGCCUUCCAGGAUUUGAAUUGACUUUAGAGACUGCUGCCACUUGUUUUGCCACAAUUAAUGGGAGAAAUUUUAACUCUCCCAUAAAACAUCCAGAAUUGCCUUUUUAAAUAGUAUCUACUCAAUGCUAGAGAGAGAAAGAUGGGCUCCAUUUUAAGACUUUCCCAAUGCUUUAAGUUCACACACAAGAAUUGUCACGCAGUAUAUCAGGUGCUCAGAGUUUUCUAGCAGCAGAAUGUUAUCUGCUAAGGCUGUCCUACAUGCCUUUCUUCCACAAAAAACGACGACGGAAAAAAGCAGUAAAACAGAGAAAAAAAGGAAAUGUAGAACAAAACAAAACAAAGGAAUGAAAGACUGAUGAUCAGAAAGUGCAUGUGAACAGGACAGCAAAAGCGUGGUAAAGACAAAGGGGAAAAUGCCGUUUUUCCUCUCUGAAAUACAUUACAAACUUAUGGGACUCGUUCAAAAAGAGAACAAGAGCGACUGCAUGCUCAAAGGCUGGAUUUAAAAUUAGUAAUGGAAUCACUUAGAAUUUAGAACUCUAGAUUCAGCUGGAGAAGGCACCAAGGCACCACUUCCACAGCUCCUAACAGAGGUUAACAUCUAAAACAUAUACUUACAUAGCUGAGUCUCACAUGGCCAGACCAUGUUAGAAAGUUGUCUAUAGAAGCACUGCCACAUUAGAAAACUUACCAGUAAAACUGUGCCGACAAGCAUAAACUAGAACUUAAUCAUUGCACAGGAAAGGCAGAACUAAGAGUUGGAAACAAUGCUGUACACAGCAGCCAAACUGCGUGGCAUACACCACCUCACUGACAUAUAUGGCAUCUGUUUGCCUUUUUCUCUCGUGUGCUUUUGCCAGGGAUAUUUUCCUAAGAGGAGGGUUGAAGAAAACAAAGAUCUGAAGUCUGCUUGUUUUGUGGGGCUUUUGGCUUAAGCAGUUAUGAAUUAGACAUGAAGAUUUCACUGCUGCCUUAAUAUGAUUUGAAAACUGUAUACUUCCAUUUUCAUUCAUUCACACUUGCAAGAAGAAAAAUCGUCAACAUUCUAAAUUCAAGCUUAAGCCACGGACAUUGGUUUUCCACAAAACAUGCACAGCUGCACCAGUUAAUUCAAAGUAACUCAGCACUGUGAACUUCAGUAUACAGGAGGAGCAUAGAUGCUCCAAGUGUGUCUUAGGGACAGGCAAAGUAAAGGUGCAAGGCGCAGCAGCAGGGAGGCGCCCAUGGGGAGCGGCCUCUGCUCCCACUGCUGUUUGCCUCUGCAAUUCCUUCUGCACCAGCAGCGAGUGCAGAUGAGGUGCUCCUCCAACACUCCGUGAGCCUGCUUUGAGAAUGUAUGUUACGUUCUAAUUGGAGAAAGGUAGAAGCAGUUUUGCCAGUGCUUUUCAAGCAACACAGUACCUACAAGAGAGAAAUUUAAAAAACUCACUGAUUUACCAUGUUAAAAAAAGAUGGCACAUUUAUUGCUACAUAAAUGUUAUAUACAUAGUGUUUUCUGUUACAUUGACAGAAAGUUUUUGAACUUCUUGCUGCUGGUUGGAAAGGUUUAUCAGCAAUACCUUGAAAUUUGACACAGGGUACAAAUCUGCAAUAAACCAACAAUGGAAACUGGAGAACAAGAUGAGAAGCAAUUCAUCUCGGACAAUUAGCUCUUACAAUACUCCAUAGGUACUACACGGUAUGCUAGAACCCUACUAUGGUCUUACAAUGCUAUUGUAAAUUUCUGAUAUUAAUGAACAGGUUAUGGUAAAUAACCCUACAUUUUUACUACCUAAUAUAGUAAAAUAAAGUAAGAAACUUUUUACUGAAAACUUUUUCGAUUUCAAAAAUCUAGAAAGAGUAAUAUUUAGAAUUCAAGAAAUUUUCUUACAAGAUUAUUGUAUAAAAGACUAGCUACAGUGAAAAAUAAGCCAAAUGUUUUUUUCUUUCUAUUUUAUGAAGGAAAGCUUCUGGGCAUACUGCAAAGUCUAAUAUAGCCAAAAAGACAACAAGCUUAGAAGGAAAAAGGCCAGGCAGUGGUACGUGAUCACUUUCACACGUCAUAAGCAACAAAUUUGUUUAGCCAAUAAACACUGAAAUGAAGAACAAGGCCACAGAUAUAAUCAGGUGUUAUCUGAUGGUAUAUGCAAAUUAAAGUAACAGAAAUGAGUCCACUAUUUUCACAAACUGUUCUGUUAGGAACCAUUGAAAACGUGAGCUUAAAUUCAUUAGUUUAUUUUAACAAUCCAGCUUUUGUUCUUUCAAAUUAAAUGACUCCAUAAAAAGUAUUGUUUUGUUCCUGUUUUGUAUGGUGAACCAAUUACCAGUAAUGAAAGAUGCACUAUAUAAACAAUAGCUCAGACAACCUUGGC
Phasianus colchicus (ring-necked pheasant) is the source of this 11505-nucleotide non-coding RNA. The record is from RefSeq and is a predicted model, not a curated record. Lineage: Eukaryota; Metazoa; Chordata; Aves; Galliformes; Phasianidae.